Molecule: long non-coding RNA, 274 nt
Filed under: Rattus norvegicus (Norway rat)
Lineage: Eukaryota; Metazoa; Chordata; Mammalia; Rodentia; Muridae
Description: long non-coding RNA NONRATT023527
Source: RNAcentral
AGGAUGAGCAGUCAAUCGGGCUGAAGGACUCCCUGUUGGCCCACUCUUCUGACCCUGUGGAAAUGCGAAGGCUUAACUACCAGACCCCAGGUAUGCGAGACCACCCGCCCAUCCCCAUCACUGACCUGGCAGACAAUAUUGAACGUCUCAAAGCCAAUGAUGGGCUCAAGUUCUCCCAGGAGUAUGAGAAUUUACCUUUGUCCUGCCCCAUACCUUGCCAUCUUUGCAAUAAAGCUGUGCCCACCUUGGCACCCAGGGCCCCUGCUCACAGCCA